RNAcentral lists this ribosomal RNA (167 nucleotides) under uncultured bacterium. Its description in RNAcentral is "partial 16S rRNA". It matches the Rfam family "Bacterial small subunit ribosomal RNA", at positions 355 to 511 of the family's 1533-position model. The record is from RNAcentral.
UAGGGAAUCUUCGGCAAUGGACAAAAGUCUGACCGAGCAACGCCGCGUGAGUGAAGAAGGUUUUCGGAUUCGUAAAACUCUAGUUGGUAGAGAAGAACGUUGGUGAGAGUGGAAAGCUCAUCAAGUGACGGUAACUACCCAGAAAGGGACGGCUAACUACGUGCCAG